AAAAAGCUAGUUUAAAUAAAACUUUCGAUUUCGACUCAAAAUAUUUUGGUGUGACCCCAAAGCUUUUAU
Molecule: transfer RNA, 69 nt
Filed under: Aphelasterias japonica
Lineage: Eukaryota; Metazoa; Echinodermata; Asteroidea; Forcipulatida; Asteriidae
Description: tRNA-Arg
Rfam family: tRNA
About the family: Transfer RNA (tRNA) molecules are approximately 80 nucleotides in length.
Source: RNAcentral